RNAcentral lists this ribosomal RNA (261 nucleotides) under Chloropicon mariensis. RNAcentral describes it as "partial Bacterial large subunit ribosomal RNA". It matches the Rfam family "Bacterial large subunit ribosomal RNA", at positions 2274 to 2534 of the family's 2925-position model. Lineage: Eukaryota; Viridiplantae; Chlorophyta; Chloropicophyceae; Chloropicales; Chloropicaceae. The record is from RNAcentral.
CUGGGGCGGUUGCCUCCCAAAAUGUAACGGAGGCGCCCAAAGGUUCCCUCAGCCUGGUUGGCAAUCAGGUGUUGAGUGUAAGUGCACAAGGGAGCUUGACUGUGAGACUUACCAGUCGAGCAGGUACGAAAGUAGGGCUUAGUGAUCCGGUGGUUCCGCAUGGAAGGGCCAUCGCUCAAAGGAUAAAAGGUACGCCGGGGAUAACAGGCUGAUCUCCCCCAAGAGCUCACAUCGACGGGGAGGUUUGGCACCUCGAUGUCG